Molecule: long non-coding RNA, 645 nt
Organism: Oreochromis aureus
Lineage: Eukaryota; Metazoa; Chordata; Actinopteri; Cichliformes; Cichlidae
Exons: 3
Source: RefSeq, a predicted model, not a curated record
CACUUUAAAUCAUUUCAGACAGUUUCUUACGUCACAGUUUCCAGCUGUACGCGUGGGUCCCAACAACCCGGAUAUACACACCGCGGCUCGUCUUUAAGAGACGUCAACAGGUCCGCGAAUUCUCCAGAUAUAUCAACAGAAACACAGCUUUUCUUGGGCCACGGCGGGUCCACAAAUCUUUGCUGACCACGGCGGGUCCACCAAUCUUCACUGACCACGGCGGGUCCACAAAUGCACAGAUGUAAAUACAAAAAAAGCCAGUGCAUAAUGUCAGGGUUUGUCAACGGUUGUCAAGGCAACAGUGAAACAAAACGGCUUCUGCUCCACCAUGCAAGACAAAGAAUUGCUUAGCUGGGGAGAGCCACGGAUGGCAGUCACCCAGCAGCUACGGUGCAGUAGCCACAGGGGGCCACAGCGAUGAACCUGCAGGAUCCAGUGGCAGCCAGCUAUGCCAGAGCAGGCUGAAACCCGGGCCCAGAGACCUAAGAUCUGAGGGCCCUCCACAUCCUGGAAGGGGCCCGACAGAGCCGGGGGACCGUGCUCCACCAAGGAGCCGUCAGGAGUGAGCCAGUACACACCCGAGCACCCAACCCCGGACACCGAGAACCACCAAUACAGCGACGGGUGCAGGCACCAGCAAGUGAU